AACUCUCCCAGCUCCUUCAGAAUUUGUCUAGCAUCCUUUCUGGUUUUAGCCAGAAAACCCUU
This 62-nucleotide small nuclear RNA is filed under the name Choloepus hoffmanni (Hoffmann's two-fingered sloth). RNAcentral's name for it is "U7 small nuclear RNA (ENSCHOG00000015630.1)". It matches the Rfam family "U7 small nuclear RNA". Rfam says of the family: Animal histone pre-mRNAs are spliced by a different mechanism than nuclear pre-mRNAs and self-splicing introns. This processing involves the U7 snRNP, which contains only one RNA species: U7. The 5' end of U7 RNA is thought to base-pair to a conserved spacer element downstream of the cleavage site in histone pre-mRNA. The record is from RNAcentral. Lineage: Eukaryota; Metazoa; Chordata; Mammalia; Pilosa; Megalonychidae.